Pelobates cultripes (western spadefoot toad) is the source of this 234-nucleotide non-coding RNA. The record is from the annotation of a GenBank genome assembly. NCBI's taxonomy places the organism in Eukaryota, Metazoa, Chordata, Amphibia, Anura, Pelobatidae.
ACAUACAUACACACAUACACGGUCAAUCCUAGGAUCACAGGCGCUUAGGUGCAGAAUUAUUCUUGGUGCCACCGUGUGGGCCUUGUCGUCAUACUAACUCCUCCCCUUGCAGACUGUGCAUGUUUCCAUGGCAAUGAUGCCCCCUCCAUCUAUAAGCCAAACCCAUUUUUCUAAUGAGACAUACAUUGAGAGAGACACACACAAUCUCAGAUUCCUUUUUAAAAAUGUUUUAAA